UGCUAGACGAGUUUGAUCCUGGCUCAGGAUGGACGCUAGCGGUGUGCUUAAUGCAUGCAAGUCGAACGGGAUCCCAUGGAUUCGUCCAGGGUGAGAGUGGCGGACGGGUGAGUAACGCGUUGGUGACCUGCCUCGGAGAGGGGGACAACCAUUGGAAACGAUGGCUAAUACCCCGGAUGUUAUCGAGUUUAGAAAUCGAUAACUAAAGCUCUGGCGCUCCGAGAGGGGCCAGCGUCCCAUCAGCUUGUUGGUAAGGUAACGGCUUACCAAGGCUCAGACGGGUAGGGGGCGUGAGAGCGUGACCCCCCACACUGGUACUGAAACACGGACCAGAUACCUACGGGUAGCAGCAGCAAGGAAUAUUGCGCAAUGGGCGAAAGCCUGACGCAGCAACACCGCGUGGAGGAUGAAGGCUUUCGGGUUGUAAACUCCUUUUCUGGGGGAAGAGAAAGGACGGUACCCCAGGAAUAAGGCCCGGCUAACUACGUG
RNAcentral lists this ribosomal RNA (489 nucleotides) under uncultured bacterium. Its description in RNAcentral is "bacterial SSU rRNA". It matches the Rfam family "Bacterial small subunit ribosomal RNA", at positions 1 to 507 of the family's 1533-position model. The record is from RNAcentral.